AGAAUCAACGCUGGCGGCGUGCCUAACACAUGCAAGUCGCACGAGAAAGUGGAGCAAUCCAUGAGUAAAGUGGCGCACGGGUGAGUAACACGUGACUAACCUACCUCCGAGUGGGGAAUAACUGAGAGAAAUCUUAGCUAAUACCGCAUAACACUUACGAGUCAAAGCAGCAAUGCGCUUGGAGAGGAGGUCGCGGCCGAUUAGCUAGUUGGCGGGGUAAUGGCCCACCAAGGCGAUGAUCGGUA
This 245-nucleotide ribosomal RNA is filed under the name uncultured bacterium. Its description in RNAcentral is "partial small subunit ribosomal RNA". It matches the Rfam family "Bacterial small subunit ribosomal RNA", at positions 26 to 285 of the family's 1533-position model. The record is from RNAcentral.